ACACGUGAGCAACCUGCCCCUGACUCUGGGAUAAGCGCUGGAAACGGCGUCUAAUACUGGAUACGAGCAAGAACCGCAUGGUUACUUGUUGGAAAGAUUUUUUGGUUGGGGAUGGGCUCGCGGCCUAUCAGCUUGUUGGUGAGGUAAUGGCUCACCAAGGCGUCGACGGGUAGCCGGCCUGAGAGGGUGACCGGCCACACUGGGACUGAGACACGGCCCAGACUCCUACGGGAGGCAGCAGUGGGGAAUAUUGCACAAUGGGCGGAAGCCUGAUGCAGCAACGCCGCGUGAGGGAUGACGGCCUUCGGGUUGUAAACCUCUUUUAGCAAGGAAGAAGCGAAAGUGACGGUACUUGCAGAAAAAGCGCCGGCUAACUACGUGCCAGCAGCCGCGGUAAUACGUAGGGCGCAAGCGUUAUCCGGAAUUAUUGGGCGUAAAGAGCUCGUAGGCGGUUUGUCGCGUCUGCUGUGAAAUCCCGAGGCUCAACCUCGGGCCUGCAGUGGGUACGGGCAGACUAGAGUGCGGUAGGGGAGAUUGGAAUUCCUGGUGUAGCGGUGGAAUGCGCAGAUAUCAGGAGGAACACCGAUGGCGAAGGCA
Molecule: ribosomal RNA, 597 nt
Filed under: Microbacterium sp.
Lineage: Bacteria; Bacillati; Actinomycetota; Actinomycetes; Micrococcales; Microbacteriaceae
Description: bacterial SSU rRNA
Rfam family: Bacterial small subunit ribosomal RNA
Source: RNAcentral